AUACGGAGGGGGUUAGCGUUGUUCGGAAUUACUGGGCGUAAAGCGCACGUAGGCGGACUGGAAAGUUGGGGGUGAAAUCCCGGGGCUCAACCCCGGAACUGCCUCCAAAACUUCCAAUCUAGAGAUCGAGAGAGGUAAGUGGAAUUCCUAGUGUAGAGGUGAAAUUCGUAGAUAUUAGGAGGAACACCAGUGGCGAAGGCGGCUUACUGGCUCGAUACUGACGCUGAGGUGCGAAAGCGUGGGGAGCAAACAGGAUUAGAAACCCCAGUAGUCC
Molecule: ribosomal RNA, 274 nt
Filed under: uncultured bacterium
Lineage: Bacteria
Description: partial 16S ribosomal RNA
Rfam family: Bacterial small subunit ribosomal RNA
Source: RNAcentral